Long non-coding RNA from Xyrauchen texanus (razorback sucker), 386 nucleotides. RefSeq lists it as uncharacterized. The record is from RefSeq and is a predicted model, not a curated record. NCBI's taxonomy places the organism in Eukaryota, Metazoa, Chordata, Actinopteri, Cypriniformes, Catostomidae. The transcript is spliced from 3 exons.
AAUGUAAUUCAACAUGACCCAGCAGAUAUCUAUAGUUAUGAAAAUGCUGAUAUUCUGAACAACAGACCUGAGGAAGAUACAUUCGAAUCAGAAUAUAUGAAUACUUGAAGUGAAUGUUGCCUGAACGCAAGCUAGUGGCUGAAAUGGGACUCCAGUUGGAUUAAACUUAAAUAUUUGGAACUAAUACACAUUUUGACUUUAAUAUGGAAAGAGGUUUCUAGCUUUGAUCAUAUUUGUAUGUUGGUGAACAUUUAACAAUAGCAUAGCUCUGUGUGUAUACACUUACUUUACUCCAAUAAAAGAGUAAAGAUCAAACAGCUUUAAAUUAACUUUGUAAUUUAUCAGCUGAUCUCAAGUUAAUUAACUUGUGGUCGAGAGAUGUUUUU